AGGAUGGCUAGUUGUGUUAGU
This 21-nucleotide non-coding RNA is filed under the name Arabidopsis thaliana (thale cress). Lineage: Eukaryota; Viridiplantae; Streptophyta; Magnoliopsida; Brassicales; Brassicaceae. The record is from RNAcentral.